Molecule: transfer RNA, 72 nt
Filed under: Ovis aries (sheep)
Lineage: Eukaryota; Metazoa; Chordata; Mammalia; Artiodactyla; Bovidae
Rfam family: tRNA
About the family: Transfer RNA (tRNA) molecules are approximately 80 nucleotides in length.
Source: Rfam by way of RNAcentral
UCCCUUGUAGCUCAGUUGGUAAAGAAUCUGCCUAUAAUGUAGGAGACCUGGGUUCAAUUCCUGGGUUGGGAA